This 201-nucleotide long non-coding RNA is filed under the name Elaeis guineensis (African oil palm). RNAcentral's name for it is "long non-coding RNA (EGUI_LNC011196)". The record is from RNAcentral. Lineage: Eukaryota; Viridiplantae; Streptophyta; Magnoliopsida; Arecales; Arecaceae.
GGGGACAGGAGUGGAAAUUAUUAGUGGCUGCUGACCGACAUCAGGAUGGGCCAGUGUGUUCCCUUCCAGUUCCACAGACUUUUUUGGUUUUCCAGAAGACAUCAAUACGUCAGUCUAUCUUAUAAUUUCCUUGCUCCAUUGCGUAUUCCUGAAAGGCUUUGGAGUGCACGAAUUCAUUCGAUAAAGGAAAGAGAACCGUUU